RNAcentral lists this ribosomal RNA (253 nucleotides) under uncultured bacterium. RNAcentral describes it as "partial 16S ribosomal RNA". It matches the Rfam family "Bacterial small subunit ribosomal RNA", at positions 524 to 776 of the family's 1533-position model. The record is from RNAcentral.
UACGUAGGGGGCAAGCGUUAUCCGGAUUUACUGGGUGUAAAGGGAGCGUAGACGGCUGUGCAAGCCAGAUGUGAAAGCCCGGGGCUCAACCCCGGGACUGCAUUUGGAACUGUGUAGCUGGAGUGUCGGGGAGGCAGGCGGAAUUCCUAGUGUAGCGGUGAAAUGCGUAGAUAUUAGGAGGAACACCAGUGGCGAAGGCGGCCUGCUGGACGAUGACUGACGUUGAGGCUCGAAAGCGUGGGGAGCAAACAGG